RNAcentral lists this ribosomal RNA (763 nucleotides) under uncultured Streptococcus sp. Its description in RNAcentral is "bacterial SSU rRNA". It matches the Rfam family "Bacterial small subunit ribosomal RNA", at positions 28 to 776 of the family's 1533-position model. The record is from RNAcentral. Lineage: Bacteria; Bacillati; Bacillota; Bacilli; Lactobacillales; Streptococcaceae.
GACGAACGCUGGCGGCGUGCCUAAUACAUGCAAGUAGAACGCUGAAGGAGGAGCUUGCUUCUCCGGAUGAGUUGCGAACGGGUGAGUAACGCGUAGGUAACCUGCCUGGUAGCGGGGGAUAACUAUUGGAAACGAUAGCUAAUACCGCAUAACAGUAGAUAUUGCAUGAUAUCUGCUUGAAAGGUGCAAAUGCAUCACUACCAGAUGGACCUGCGUUGUAUUAGCUAGUUGGUGAGGUAACGGCUCACCAAGGCGGCGAUACAUAGCCGACCUGAGAGGGUGAUCGGCCACACUGGGACUGAGACACGGCCCAGACUCCUACGGGAGGCAGCAGUAGGGAAUCUUCGGCAAUGGACGGAAGUCUGACCGAGCAACGCCGCGUGAGUGAAGAAGGUUUUCGGAUCGUAAAGCUCUGUUGUAAGAGAAGAACGAGUGUGAGAGUGGAAAGUUCACACUGUGACGGUAUCUUACCAGAAAGGGACGGCUAACUACGUGCCAGCAGCCGCGGUAAUACGUAGGUCCCGAGCGUUGUCCGGAUUUAUUGGGCGUAAAGCGAGCGCAGGCGGUUAGAUAAGUCUGAAGUUAAAGGCUGUGGCUUAACCAUAGUACGCUUUGGAAACUGUUUAACUUGAGUGCAAGAGGGGAGAGUGGAAUUCCAUGUGUAGCGGUGAAAUGCGUAGAUAUAUGGAGGAACACCGGUGGCGAAAGCGGCUCUCUGGCUUGUAACUGACGCUGAGGCUCGAAAGCGUGGGGAGCAAACAGG